This 608-nucleotide long non-coding RNA is filed under the name Homo sapiens (human). Its description in RNAcentral is "long non-coding RNA NONHSAT190901.1". Lineage: Eukaryota; Metazoa; Chordata; Mammalia; Primates; Hominidae. The record is from RNAcentral.
UGGAAUGUCUCCAACCCUAGUAUCUUCUGUUCCCACAGCAGCUGUGCCCCCCCUGGCUAACGGGGCUCCCCCUGUUAUACAACCUCUGCCUGCAUUUGCUCAUCCUGCAGCCACAUUGCCAAAGAGUUCUUCCUUUAGUAGAUCUGGUCCAGGGUCACAACUAAACACUAAAUUACAAAAGGCACAGUCAUUUGAUGUGGCCAGUGUCCCACCAGUGGCAGAGUGGGCUGUUCCUCAGUCAUCAAGACUGAAAUACAGGCAAUUAUUCAAUAGUCAUGACAAAACUAUGAGUGGACACUUAACAGGUCCCCAAGCAAGAACUAUUCUUAUGCAGUCAAGUUUACCACAGGCUCAGCUGGCUUCAAUAUGGAAUCUUUCUGACAUUGAUCAAGAUGGAAAACUUACAGCAGAGGAAUUUAUCCUGGCAAUGCACCUCAUUGAUGUAGCUAUGUCUGGCCAACCACUGCCACCUGUCCUGCCUCCAGAAUACAUUCCACCUUCUUUUAGAAGAGUUCGAUCUGGCAGUGGUAUAUCUGUCAUAAGCUCAACAUCUGUAGAUCAGAGGCUACCAGAGGAACCAGUUUUAGAAGAUGAACAACAACAAUUAG